CCUGAUUUCCAGUUUGACUUUGGAAUUUUCAAAAUGGCUGCCGUUACCAUGGAAACAGCUAAAAUAUCAAAAAUUCUAACUCUUUCGUUAUAAGAUCCAACUGGAUGAAACUUUAUGAAAAUGUUACUCCAGUAUGCCAAGAUGUCCAAGACAAUAUUUGAAAUAGUUCAAAAUGGCCGCCGUUGUCAUGGAAACUGGGGCCAAGUUUUGCAUUGACCCUAUGGAAAAAUGCAUAAAAUCAGCAUUUUCUCAGAGAGUUAGUUGCACCAAAGUAAAUGAAACUGUAUUGAUAUAUAACAUGACAUGUGGCAAUGAGAUGUCUGCUUUUAGAAUUUUGGAAUUAUCUACUGUAACCAUGGUUGCAGCACAAAUGUUCAAAAUUUCCAAAAAAAAUUAAGUGCUGCAAACUGGAUGAAACUUUACAGGAAUAGUGACUGACAUGUGCGGAGUUGCAUUUUGAAGUUGGAAUUUCCAAAAUGGCCGCCGUAACCAUGGAAACAGCAAAAUUGUCCAAAAUUUCAAAAUGCUCCAAACUUAAUGAAAUUUUGCAAAAAUGAUGACUUGCAUGUGUAGAUGCACUCUUUGACUUUGGAAUUUUCAAAAUGGCUGCCGCUCGCCUGGCAAUGGGGGGACGAGGGUGCCAUCCGUUAUUGCUAGCAAUUACAAAUCUAGUUAUUUUUAUUAUUUUUCUUCCACACAUUUUGUCCAGGAGUUUUAUGGAAAUCCAUUGGACCAAAGUUGAUGGAACUCUUUUAUAUUAAGGACCCUUGGGUGAAGAGUUGCAAGCACCAUUGAAUGGUUCAAGAUGGCUGCCGUUUCCAUGGAAACUGCAAAAAUGUGAAAAAUUUUCAAAAUUCAAAAUUCUUCAUUAUAAGACCCAAGUGGAUGAAACUUUGUGGAAGUG
This 904-nucleotide long non-coding RNA is filed under the name Mytilus galloprovincialis (Mediterranean mussel). The record is from RNAcentral. Lineage: Eukaryota; Metazoa; Mollusca; Bivalvia; Mytilida; Mytilidae.